AUAUUUACGAUUGUUCUAAACCUUCAUCAUUUUUGUAAUUAGUUUCCUGCAUAAAUAACUUGAUCUCAAUAUGUUUGUGUUUAAUCUCUCAUAGCUUUAUUUGAGAAUCUAUACAAUGAAAAAGUUUCUACACAUUAUAAGUUGUUAUUUCCUAUCAAGUGGCAUCUUGAUGUAUUUUUAAUGCUCCAUAUCUUAAUACCUUUGGAAUAAUAAUUUGUUGGACUUAAACAAUUAACAGUUAAAAAUUUAAGCAUAAGUUGUUGAUAGUGUGUAACUUUAUUGACAACCUACUUCUGAAGUUAUUUCUAUCAAACACAUAACAACUUCUUAUUGAAAGUACUUUCACUGAUAAACUAUUUAACAUCAAUUUUGUAACUUAGCACAAGCUAUAGUCAUGCCAAAUAUACUUACUCUAUUACAUAUGUGAAGCAUGGGUUGAGGAUGCAACUUUAAAAAUAAUAUUAUAUCCUAAAUUAAACCAAUUGAUGUUUAUCUUUGUAAAUCUUGUUCGACAUCAUUAUUUUUCUCCCAUGAUUAAUCCAAUUGAUAUUUUCUCCCUUUUCCUUGUUUUUCUUCAACUUGUUCAACGUUUUACCCUCUUUUCUUUUCUUUUUUUUUUUUCCUUUUCUGAUGUCUUUUUUUAACCCCAUUUUUCUCUCAUCUCUUUUUGUGAAUAAUCUCUU
RNAcentral lists this long non-coding RNA (683 nucleotides) under Carica papaya (papaya). RNAcentral describes it as "long non-coding RNA (CPAP_LNC003203)". The record is from RNAcentral. Lineage: Eukaryota; Viridiplantae; Streptophyta; Magnoliopsida; Brassicales; Caricaceae.